GACGAACGCUGGCGGCGUGCUUAACACAUGCAAGUCGAACGGAAAGGCCCUGCUUUUGUGGGGUGCUCGAGUGGCGAACGGGUGAGUAACACGUGAGUAACCUGCCCUUGACUGUGGGAUAACUUCAGGAAACUGGGGCUAAUACCGGAUAGGAGCUCCUGCUGCAUGGUGGGGGUUGGAAAGUUUCGGCGGUUGGGGAUGGACUCGCGGCUUAUCAGCUUGUUGGUUGGGUAGUGGCUUACCAAGGCUUUGACGGGUAGCCGGCCUGAGAGGGUGACCGGCCACAUUGGGCCUGAGAUACGGCCCAGACUCCUCCGGGAGGCAGCAGUGGAGAAUAUUGCACAAUGGGCGGAAGCCUGAUGCAGCACCGCAGCGUGCGGGAUGACGGCCUUCGGGUUGUAAACCGCUUUCGCCUGUGACGAAGCGUGAGUGACGGUAAUGGGUAAAGAAGCACCGGCUAACUACGUG
Molecule: ribosomal RNA, 468 nt
Filed under: uncultured bacterium
Lineage: Bacteria
Description: partial 16S ribosomal RNA
Rfam family: Bacterial small subunit ribosomal RNA
Source: RNAcentral